Molecule: ribosomal RNA, 497 nt
Filed under: uncultured bacterium
Lineage: Bacteria
Description: partial 16S ribosomal RNA
Rfam family: Bacterial small subunit ribosomal RNA
Source: RNAcentral
GACGAACGCUGGCGGCGUGCCUAAUACAUGCAAGCAGAACGCUGAAGAGAGGAGCUUGCUCUUCUUGGAUGAGUUGCGAACGGGUGAGUAACGCGUAGGUAACCUGCCUUGUAGCGGGGGAUAACUAUUGGAAACGAUAGCUAAUACCGCAUAACAAUGGAUGACACAUGUCAUUUAUUUGAAAGGGGCAAUUGCUCCACUACAAGAUGGACCUGCGUUGUAUUAGCUAGUAGGUGAGGUAAUGGCUCACCUAGGCGACGAUACAUAGCCGACCUGAGAGGGUGAUCGGCCACACUGGGACUGAGACACGGCCCAGACUCCUACGGGAGGCAGCAGUAGGGAAUCUUCGGCAAUGGGGGCAACCCUGAACGAGCAACGCCGCGUGAGUGAAGAAGGGUUUCGGAUCGUAAAGCUCUGUUGUAAGUCAAGAACGGGUGUGAGAGUGGAAAGUUCACACUGUGACGGUAGCUUACCAGAAAGGGACGGCUAACUACGUG